UGAGCAAUCUGCCCUUCUCAUCGGAAUAAGCGUUGGAAACGACGUCUAAUGCCGAAUACGACCUCCUUUCGCAUGAUCGGAGGUGGAAAGCUCCGGCGGAGAAGGAUGAGCUCGCGGCCUAUCAGCUAGUUGGUGUGGGUAGUGGCCCACCAAGGCGACGACGGGUAGCCGGCCUGAGAGGGUGACCGGCCACACUGGGACUGAGACACGGCCCAGACCUCCGUACGGGGAGCAG
Molecule: ribosomal RNA, 235 nt
Filed under: uncultured bacterium
Lineage: Bacteria
Description: partial 16S ribosomal RNA
Rfam family: Bacterial small subunit ribosomal RNA
Source: RNAcentral